GACGAACGCUGGCGGCGUGCUUAACACAUGCAAGUCGAACGGAAAGGCCCUGCUUUUGUGGGGUGCUCGAGUGGCGAACGGGUGAGUAACACGUGAGUAACCUGCCCUUGACUUUGGGAUAACUUCAGGAAACUGGGGCUAAUACCGGAUAGGAGUUCCUGCUGCAUGGUGGGGGUUGGAAAGUUUCGGCGGUUGGGGAUGGACUCGCGGCUUAUCAGCUUGUUGGUGGGGUAGUGUCUUACCAAGGCUUUGACGGGUAGCCGGCCUGAGAGGGUGACCGGCCACAUUGGGACUGAGAUACGGCCCAGACUCCUACGGGAGGCAGCAGUGGGGAAUAUUGCACAAUGGGCGGAAGCCUGAUGCAGCAACGCCGCGUGCGGGAUGACGGCCUUCGGGUUGUAAACCGCUUUCGCCUGUGACGAAGCGUGAGUGACGGUAAUGGGUAAAGAAGCACCGGCUAACUACGUG
This 468-nucleotide ribosomal RNA is filed under the name uncultured bacterium. Its description in RNAcentral is "partial 16S ribosomal RNA". It matches the Rfam family "Bacterial small subunit ribosomal RNA", at positions 28 to 507 of the family's 1533-position model. The record is from RNAcentral.